Molecule: ribosomal RNA, 497 nt
Filed under: uncultured bacterium
Lineage: Bacteria
Description: partial 16S ribosomal RNA
Rfam family: Bacterial small subunit ribosomal RNA
Source: RNAcentral
GAUGAACGCUGGCGGCGUGCCUAAUACAUGCAAGUCGAGCGAACGGACGAGAAGCUUGCUUCUCUGAUGUUAGCGGCGGACGGGUGAGUAACACGUGGAUAACCUACCUAUAAGACUGGGAUAACUUCGGGAAACCGGAGCUAAUACCGGAUAAUAUUUUGAACCGCAUGGUUCAAACGUGAAAGACGGUCUUGCUGUCACUUAUAGAUGGAUCCGCGCUGCAUUAGCUAGUUGGUAAGGUAACGGCUUACCAAGGCAACGAUGCAUAGCCGACCUGAGAGGGUGAUCUGCCACACUGGAACUUAGACACGGUCCAGACUCCUACGGGAGGCAACAGUAGGGAAUCUUCCGCAAUAGGCGAAAGCCUGACGGAGCAACGCCGCGUGAGUGAUGAAGGUCUUCGGAUCGUAAAACUCUGUUAUUAGGGAAGAACAUAUGUGUAAGUAACUGUGCACAUCUUGACGGUACCUAAUCAGAAAGCCACGGCUAACUACGUG